This 498-nucleotide ribosomal RNA is filed under the name uncultured Glomeromycotina. RNAcentral's name for it is "partial small subunit ribosomal RNA". It matches the Rfam family "Eukaryotic small subunit ribosomal RNA", at positions 591 to 1092 of the family's 1831-position model. Lineage: Eukaryota; Fungi; Glomeromycota. The record is from RNAcentral.
CCAAUAGCGUAUAUUAAAGUUGUUGCAGUUAAAAAGCUCGUAGUUGAAUUUUGGAUUCUGCCAGUUGGUCCAUCUUUUGAUGAGUACUGAUUGUGUGGGGUCUAUCCGCCUGGUAAUACGUAAUGUACUUUAUUGUAUGUUAUGGGUAGCCAGGACCUUUACCUUGAAAAAAUUAGAGUGUUUAAAGCAGGCUUAUGCCGGAAUACAUUAGCAUGGAAUAAUAGAAUAGGACGAUGUUGUUUUAUUUUGUUGGUUUCUAGGACAACCGUAAUGAUUAAUAGGGAUAGUUGGGGGCAUUAGUAUUCAAUUGUCAGAGGUGAAAUUCUUGGAUUUAUUGAAGACUUACUACUGCGAAAGCAUUUGCCAAGGAUGUUUUCAUUAAUCAAGAACGAAAGUUAGGGGAUCGAAGACGAUCAGAUACCGUCGUAGUCUUAACCAUAAACUAUGCCGACUAGGGAUCGGGCGAUGUUGUUUCCAUGACUCGCUCGGCACCUUAUG